AUGGAUUUUUGGCAAAUCAAUAAGUUCUUAAAAAAAUGUUUAUCAUUUCGGGAUUACAACAGUUUUGACUCCACCGAAAUAUGCAAAAUAAGGUUGGACUUUUUGACUGUGGUCCUGGGCGGAAAAUGGGAUGUAAUAAAUUACUUAAGAAUUAGCAAAUGGGCUGCAAAUUAUAAAAAAUAG
Molecule: ribosomal RNA, 183 nt
Filed under: Triticum aestivum (bread wheat)
Lineage: Eukaryota; Viridiplantae; Streptophyta; Magnoliopsida; Poales; Poaceae
Description: partial small subunit ribosomal RNA
Source: RNAcentral